UGAAAUGAGAGAAAAAUGUCAUAAUCUACUUAGGUGACAGCUAGCCUCCAUCUUUGAUCUAAAUGUUAAUCUUCCAAUAGCAAUAAUUCCUAAUUGAACUAUUAACUUGCUCUCAAAUUUUUCAUGAGUGUUGAAAGUCAAGUCAACUAUUAGCUCCAACAAAAUAACCUCAAUCCAACUAGCAAAUUGUUGCAAAUCUUAG
Molecule: long non-coding RNA, 202 nt
Filed under: Physcomitrium patens
Lineage: Eukaryota; Viridiplantae; Streptophyta; Bryopsida; Funariales; Funariaceae
Description: long non-coding RNA (PPAT_LNC005015)
Source: RNAcentral